GUGGGUGAUUAGCUCAGUCGGUAGAGCAGCGCAUUCGUAAUGCGAAGGUCACCAGUUCGAUUCCGGUCAGCGGCACCA
Molecule: transfer RNA, 78 nt
Filed under: Pseudomonas syringae pv. actinidiae
Lineage: Bacteria; Pseudomonadati; Pseudomonadota; Gammaproteobacteria; Pseudomonadales; Pseudomonadaceae
Description: tRNA-Thr
Rfam family: tRNA (bases 10-67)
About the family: Transfer RNA (tRNA) molecules are approximately 80 nucleotides in length.
Source: RNAcentral